RNAcentral lists this ribosomal RNA (433 nucleotides) under uncultured bacterium. RNAcentral describes it as "partial 16S ribosomal RNA". It matches the Rfam family "Bacterial small subunit ribosomal RNA", at positions 29 to 507 of the family's 1533-position model. The record is from RNAcentral.
AACGAACGCUGGCGGCAGGCCUAACACAUGCAAGUCGAGCGGACCCUUCGGGGUUAGCGGCGGCCGGGUGAGUAACGCGUGGGAAUAUGCCCUUCUCUACGGAAUAGUCCUGGGAAACUGGGGGUAAUACCGUAUACGCCCUUUGGGGGAAAGAUUUAUCGGGGAAGGAUUAGCCCGCGUUGGAUUAGGUAGUUGGUAGGGUAAUGGCCUACCAAGCCGACGAUCCAUAGCUGGUUUGAGAGGAUGAUCAGCCACACUGGGACUGAGACACGGCCCAGACUCCUACGGGAGGCAGCAGUGGGGAAUCUUAGAAAAUGGGGGCAACCCUGAUCGAGCCAUGCCGCGUGAGUGAUGAAGGCCUUAGGGUUGUAAAGCUCUUUCAGCUGGGAAGAUAAUGACGGUACCAGCAGAAGAAGCCCCGGCUAACUCCGUG